RNAcentral lists this ribosomal RNA (565 nucleotides) under Lomentospora prolificans. RNAcentral describes it as "partial small subunit ribosomal RNA". The stretch from base 1 to 184 matches the Rfam family "Eukaryotic small subunit ribosomal RNA", at positions 1650 to 1831 of the family's 1831-position model. Lineage: Eukaryota; Fungi; Ascomycota; Sordariomycetes; Microascales; Microascaceae. The record is from RNAcentral.
UCCCUGCCCUUUGUACACACCGCCCGUCGCUACUACCGAUUGAAUGGCUCAGUGAGACCUCCGGACUGGCCCAGAGAGGUGGGCAACUACCACUCAGGGCCGGAAAGUUGUUCAAACUCGGUCAUUUAGAGGAAGUAAAAGUCGUAACAAGGUCUCCGUUGGUGAACCAGCGGAGGGAUCAUUACCGAGUUAUUACUCCAAACCCUUUGUGAACCUUACCUAUGUUCUGUUGCCUCGGCGGGGAGGAAGACCCCUUAAAAAGGGCCCAGCCCCCGCCGGCAGCACCAAACUCUUGCAUUUAUAGCGGAUUACAUUUCUGAAUACAAUACAAAACAAAUCAAAACUUUCAACAACGGAUCUCUUGGUUCUGGCAUCGAUGAAGAACGCAGCGAAAUGCGAUAAGUAAUGUGAAUUGCAGAAUUCAGUGAAUCAUCGAAUCUUUGAACGCACAUUGCGCCCGGCAGUAAUCUGCCGGGCAUGCCUGUCCGAGCGUCAUUUCAACCCUCGAGCCUAGGUUUUUACAAGCCCAAGGAUCGGUGUUGGGGCGCUACGGUUGUCAUCUGAC